This 253-nucleotide ribosomal RNA is filed under the name uncultured bacterium. Its description in RNAcentral is "partial 16S ribosomal RNA". It matches the Rfam family "Bacterial small subunit ribosomal RNA", at positions 524 to 776 of the family's 1533-position model. The record is from RNAcentral.
UACGAAGGGGGCUAGCGUUGCUCGGAAUUACUGGGCGUAAAGCGCACGUAGGCGGCUUGGAAAGUUGGGGGUGAAAUCCCGGGGCUCAACCCCGGAACUGCCUUCAAAACUCCCAGUCUGGAGGUCGAGAGAGGUGAGUGGAAUUCCGAGUGUAGAGGUGAAAUUCGUAGAUAUUCGGAGGAACACCAGUGGCGAAGGCGGCUCACUGGCUCGAUACUGACGCUGAGGUGCGAAAGCGUGGGGAGCAAACAGG